UACGUAGGGUGCAAGCGUUGUCCGGAAUUAUUGGGCGUAAAGAGCUCGUAGGCGGUUCGUCGCGUCGGCUGUGAAAUCCCGAGGCUCAACCUCGGGUCUGCAGUCGAUACGGGCGGACUGGAGUUCGGCAGGGGAGACUGGAAUUCCUGGUGUAGCGGUGAAAUGCGCAGAUAUCAGGAGGAACACCGAUGGCGAAGGCAGCUUGCUGGGACGGUACUGACGCUGAGGCGCGAAAGCGUGGGGAGCAAACAGG
Molecule: ribosomal RNA, 253 nt
Filed under: uncultured bacterium
Lineage: Bacteria
Description: partial 16S ribosomal RNA
Rfam family: Bacterial small subunit ribosomal RNA
Source: RNAcentral